Molecule: long non-coding RNA, 2109 nt
Organism: Vidua macroura (Pin-tailed whydah)
Lineage: Eukaryota; Metazoa; Chordata; Aves; Passeriformes; Viduidae
Exons: 3
Source: RefSeq, a predicted model, not a curated record
UGUGAAGGUUGGGAGCUGGCAGACCUGAGUCCUGAUCUGAACAUUCCUUUUCCCAAAGAGGCUGCAAGCUGUCCAAAGACAGGAGAUAAGCCCCUGGCCAGAGGAUGGAAUAUUUCCAGAUCCAAAUCAGCCAGAAAAGAAGUGAGACUGCGAGACAAACAGCAGAGCUCUCGAGUUUCAUCUGUCUGAGGAAUGUUCCUGUCAUAUGAUGGGGACCAGGCUGCCAUUCCCAGGCACUGGGAGCCUUCUGGUUCCAUCCUGCUCCAGGCUGUGCCUCUUGCUGCAGGGUAGAGUUAAUGAAGGAUUUCAAAGAGAAGGCAGGAAUUUCACUCCAGCUUCACACAUCUCACCAGCACUGCAGGAGAUAUUCCAUGUGCUCCAUGGCAGGAAUUCCAAGGUCAGUGGCUCGUGCUGUCAUUGUCUGUCCUUGUUUUAUCCCAGCUCGUGGCCGUGGCUUUGUAAAGCCACCACUCUCCCUCAGCUCGUUUGUUCGAGGUUCUGACAGCAGCAGGAAAGAUUCCCAAAUCCCUGCUCUGGAUGGAGGUGCUGUCAGCAAUCAGUGGGCUUGGCAAACAGUGGCAGAGAUUUGGGGUGUUUGCUAAUCCUGGUCUAACACAGCCAUAAAAGCAUUAAUAAAAAUCAGAGAGAAAACCUCAGGAAUUCCUUUCCCGCUGCUUCCAGUCCAAAGCAGGGGUGGCUUUGAAUUUGCAGCGCUCUGAAGGAGGAAUGGCAGAGGCUCUCCUGGAUUUGGAACUUUGAAUCAAAUAAAAAAGGUUGGAAAAGACCUCCAAGAUCACCAAAUCCCAGCUUCAACCAAAUCCCACUAUUCUUACAAAUUUGCUUGGGUUUUGGACACUUUUUGGAUGCUUUUUGGACACUUGUUCCCUUGGUGCCACCACCAUCCCUAAACUGAGCUUUUUAAGGGUUUCCUGCUGCCAAGGAUGAAUUUCUCACAUCCAAAAAGCUCAUUUUUCACAUCCAGCCUAUGAACUGGUCCUGUUGGCAUUGCCAGCUCAGGGGAAGGGUUAUGGAGAACAUUCCAGAAGAAGGGUGCAGCCAGGAAACAGUGUCAGGAUGAGAGGAAAUGGCCUCAAGUUGCCCCAGGAGAGGCUUAGAUUGGAUAUUAGGGAAAAUUUCUUCAUGGAAAGGGUUGGAAAGCCCUGGAAUGGGUGGUAGAGUCCCCAUCCCUGGAAAAAUUACAAAAAUGUGUGGAUGUGGCACUGGGGGAUGUGGUGCUGGACUUGAUCUUAAUGGUCUUUCCCAGCCUCAACAAUUCCAUGAUUCAGUGGGCUUUGACUUGUACAGGAAGACAGAAUGAAAUAUCUAAAGAAACCAAAAAAAAUAUCCAAAGAAACCAAAGAAAUAUCAAAACCAACCAAAGAAAUAUCAAAACCAACCAAAGAGACUUUAAAACAAACCCCCCCAAAACCCCCUGAAAUUCUGCUGUGAACUUGAACCUGUGGCUCCUCAACCUGAGUUGGAAUCCAGAGCCAACUUUUGGAGCCUUCCUGGUGUGUCUGUGUUGAUAAGAGAGGAGGAGAAUGGCCCAGAGAGGAUUAAACCCCUGAGCAAAUACCCCAGGCAAUCUCUGCCUUUGUGCCUGUGGCCAUUCUGGGUUAAACAUUUCCAAGCUCCUUUCUUAAAAUAGAUCAGGAAGAGAUUUCUGAGCUCGGAUCUGAUUCCCACCAAAAUUAAUGUGGUUUUUUUCCCUCUUGUUUUCAAUCAUAAAAAUGUAAAAAGGACACAGUAACCUUGGAAGCUUUUAAAGUUACAAAUCUGAAGCCAGAUUUUUUAUUUUUUAAAAUUUCAUAAAACUUCAGGCAAAUAUUUUUUUAGAAAAAUAUUUUGGUUUUCUUCCGAGCAUCUUGGCUUUGGGCAGUCUUGGGCUAAAGGUGCCAGAAUGCUCCAAGAAAAGCUGAUUUUGCUCUAUUUCCACAUUUCCUGGUGCCAUGAAGUGGUAAAACAGAGUUAAUGAGAAAGAAAUAUUCAGGAAUAAGAUGUUUGGAGAUGCACUUGCCCAAGCACUUACUAAAUGAACCUUGUAACUUUUAAGGACUCUUGUCAGCUAUGGAACAGGGGAAAAAGUGAAUAAAAAUUUUAUAUUGUUUA